Molecule: ribosomal RNA, 812 nt
Filed under: uncultured bacterium
Lineage: Bacteria
Description: bacterial SSU rRNA
Rfam family: Bacterial small subunit ribosomal RNA
Source: RNAcentral
UNUGACUUGAGUGCAGAAGGGGAGAGUGGAAUUCCAUGUGUAGCGGUGAAAUGCGUAGAUAUAUGGAGGAACACCAGUGGCGAAAGCGGCUCUCUGGUCUGUCACUGACGCUGAGGCUCGAAAGCGUGGGUAGCGAACAGGAUUAGAUACCCUGGUAGUNCACGCCGUAAACGAUGAGUGCUAGGUGUUAGGCCCUUUCCGGGGCCUAGUGCCGGAGCUAACGCAAUAAGCACUCCGCCUGGGGAGUACGACCGCAAGGUUGAAACUCAAAGGAAUUGACGGGGGCCCGCACAAGCGGUGGAGCAUGUGGUUUAAUUCGAAGCAACGCGAAGAACCUUACCAGGUCUUGACAUCCCGAUGCUAUUCUUAGAGAUAGGAAGUUACUUCGGUACAUCGGAGACAGGUGGUGCAUGGUUGUCGUCAGCUCGUGUCGUGAGAUGUUGGGUUAAGUCCCGCAACGAGCGCAACCCUUAUUGUUAGUUGCCAUCAUUAAGUUGGGCACUCUAGCGAGACUGCCGGUAAUAAACCGGAGGAAGGUGGGGAUGACGUCAAAUCAUCAUGCCCCUUAUGACCUGGGCUACACACGUGCUACAAUGGUCGGUACAACGAGUUGCGAGCCGGUGACGGCAAGCUAAUCUCUGAAAGCCGAUCUCAGUUCGGAUUGGAGGCUGCAACUCGCCUCCAUGAAGUCGGAAUCGCUAGUAAUCGCGGAUCAGCACGCCGCGGUGAAUACGUUCCCGGGCCUUGUACACACCGCCCGUCACACCACGAGAGUUUGUAACACCCGAAGUCGGUGAGGUANCCUUUUAGGG